GCUGGAUCCUCUUAUUUCAGCAGAUGGGCAAAAGUGAAGAGAGCAAGGUCAUCACACACGUAGUUUUGGAGUCAGGCCUGGAAGUAGCUCACGUCACUUCCUCUAUCUGCUUUCCAAUUGGCUAGAACUCAGUCACAUGACAUUCCUAACUGCAAGGGAGGCCAGGAAAUGUAGUUUUUUACAGUUAUAUUCAGGCGGAAAACAAGGACUUGGUGACUACAGAGCCAGCAUUUUCUUUGCCUCAGACUUUACCAAUUUCCAACCAGCAAAGUUUUUCCAGUUUAUAUUUCUAAAAGAAAGGAUGGCCAGCUGCUGCUUGAUGAUUCACUAGGAAGCCUGGCCCCUUGACAGAGCAAAUGCCAGUGAGGACUGCAAAUGGCUUCCAAUGUCUGUUUGCCCAAGGCCUUCUGGGAACUGAGGGCCUGGCAUGAGCACUGCAAGGAACUGCAAACCAGGUGAGUCACGGAUUUACCA
RNAcentral lists this long non-coding RNA (474 nucleotides) under Fukomys damarensis (Damara mole-rat). RNAcentral's name for it is "lncRNA (ENSFDAG00000033189.1)". Lineage: Eukaryota; Metazoa; Chordata; Mammalia; Rodentia; Bathyergidae. The record is from RNAcentral.